GACGAACGCUGGCGGCGUGCUUAACACAUGCAAGUCGAACGGAAAGGCCCUGCUUUUGUGGGGUGCUCGAGUGGCGAACGGGUGAGUAACACGUGAGUAACCUGCCCUUGACUUUGGGAUAACUUCAGGAAACUGGGGCUAAUACCGGAUAGGAGCUCCUGCUGCAUGGUGGGGGUUGGAAAGUUUCGGCGGUUGGGGAUGGACUCGCGGCUUAUCAGCUUGUUGGUGGGGUAGUGGCUUACCAAGGCUUUGACGGGUAGCCGGCCUGAGAGGGUGACCGGCGACAUUGGGACUGAGAUGCGGACCAGACUCCUACGGGAGGCAGCAGUGGGGAAUAGGGCACAAUGGGCGGAAGCCUGAUGCAGCAACGCCGCGGUCGGGAUGACGGCCUGCGGGUUGUAAACCGCGUUCGCCUGUGACGAAGCGUGAGGGACGGUAAUGGGUAAAGAAGCACCGGCUAACUACGUG
Molecule: ribosomal RNA, 468 nt
Filed under: uncultured bacterium
Lineage: Bacteria
Description: partial 16S ribosomal RNA
Rfam family: Bacterial small subunit ribosomal RNA
Source: RNAcentral